GUUUUUAUUGGACAAGAUUAAUUAACAAAUUGAAGAGAAAAGAGACCUUACACAAGCUAGUUGAGAGAAACGGCAAUGGCACUUUCUAGGGGAUGUUUGGGAUCGAUCUUGGAGUUCAAAAUUUCAGAUUUAGGGAUGAUUUGAUUAAGGAAAAAUUGCAGCAAUAUAUUAAAGGAGAUGGUGCAAAAUCUUGAUGCAAAAAGAAGAAGAAGAAUAUGGUAAAAGGGGAGGUGUAGGCAAUUGCAACAAUGGAGGAAAAAA
Molecule: long non-coding RNA, 261 nt
Filed under: Gossypium raimondii (Peruvian cotton)
Lineage: Eukaryota; Viridiplantae; Streptophyta; Magnoliopsida; Malvales; Malvaceae
Description: long non-coding RNA (GRAI_LNC011082)
Source: RNAcentral